This 253-nucleotide ribosomal RNA is filed under the name uncultured bacterium. RNAcentral describes it as "partial 16S ribosomal RNA". It matches the Rfam family "Bacterial small subunit ribosomal RNA", at positions 524 to 776 of the family's 1533-position model. The record is from RNAcentral.
UACGUAGGGUGCGAGCGUUGUCCGGAAUUAUUGGGCGUAAAGAGCUCGUAGGUGGUUUGUCGCGUUGUUCGUGAAAACUCACAGCUUAACUGUGGGCGUGCGGGCGAUACGGGCAGACUGGAGUACUGCAGGGGAGACUGGAAUUCCUGGUGUAGCGGUGGAAUGCGCAGAUAUCAGGAGGAACACCGGUGGCGAAGGCGGGUCUCUGGGCAGUAACUGACGCUGAGGAGCGAAAGCUAGGGGAGCAAACGGG